UACGAAGGGGGCUAGCGUUGUUCGGAAUUACUGGGCGUAAAGCGCGCGCAGGCGGUCCUUUAAGUCGGGGGUGAAAGCCCAGAGCUCAACUCUGGAACUGCCUUCGAAACUAGAGGACUUGGGUACGGGAGAGGUGAGUGGAAUUCCGAGUGUAGAGGUGAAAUUCGUAGAUAUUCGGAAGAACACCCGUGGCGAAGGCGGAUGACUGGAUCGCAACUGACACUGAGGAACGAAAGCUAGGGGAGCAAACAGG
This 253-nucleotide ribosomal RNA is filed under the name uncultured bacterium. Its description in RNAcentral is "partial 16S ribosomal RNA". It matches the Rfam family "Bacterial small subunit ribosomal RNA", at positions 524 to 776 of the family's 1533-position model. The record is from RNAcentral.